This 445-nucleotide long non-coding RNA is filed under the name Chlamydomonas reinhardtii. Its description in RNAcentral is "long non-coding RNA (CREI_LNC001156)". The record is from RNAcentral. Lineage: Eukaryota; Viridiplantae; Chlorophyta; Chlorophyceae; Chlamydomonadales; Chlamydomonadaceae.
CCGGGGACGGUGGCGCCGGGCUGGGAGGCGCGGGGCUAGGCGGCUCUGGGCUGGGAGGUGCAGGGCUUGGAGGCUCGGGGCUGGGCGGCGCAGGUGGCGUCGGGCUGGGCGGCUCCGGGCUGGGCGGCGCAGGUGGCGCGGGGCUUGGAGGCUCGGGGCUGGGAGGCACAGGUGGCGUGGGGCUGGGUGGCUCAGGUGACGGAGGCGCCGGGCUUGGAGGCUCGGGGCUGGGCGGCGCAGGUGGCGCGGGGCUGGGUGGCUCCGGCGACGGAGGUGCCGGGCUGGGUGGCUCCGGGCUGGGUGGCUCAGGCGAUGGUGGCGCAGGGCUAGGAGGCGCUGGGCUCGGCGGCUCGGGGCUGGGAGGCUCGGGGCUCGGCGGCGCAGGUGGCGCGGGGCUGGGCGGCUCCGGGCUGGGCGGCUCCGGGCUGGGCGGCUCCGGGCUGGG